CCUACGGGAGGCUGCAGUGGGGAAUAUUGGACAAUGGGCGAAAGCCUGAUCCAGCCAUGCCGCGUGUGUGAAGAAGGCCUUCGGGUUGUAAAGCACUUUCAGUGGGGAAGAAAGCCUUGGGGCUAAUACCCUCGAGGAAGGACAUCACCCACAGAAGAAGCACCGGCUAACUCCGUGCCAGCAGCCGCGGUAUACGGAGGGUGCGAGCGUUAAUCGGAAUUACUGGGCGUAAAGCGCGCGUAGGCGGUCUGAUAAGCCGGUUGUGAAAGCCCCGGGCUCAACCUGGGAACGGCAUCCGGAACUGUCAGGCUAGAGUGCAGGAGAGGAAGGUAGAAUUCCCGGUGUAGCGGUGAAAUGCGUAGAGAUCGGGAGGAAUACCAGUGGCGAAGGCGGCCUUCUGGACUGACACUGACGCUGAGGUGCGAAAGCGUGGGUAGCAAACAGGAUUAGAUACCCUUGUAGUC
This 464-nucleotide ribosomal RNA is filed under the name Vreelandella stevensii. RNAcentral describes it as "partial 16S ribosomal RNA". It matches the Rfam family "Bacterial small subunit ribosomal RNA", at positions 338 to 795 of the family's 1533-position model. The record is from RNAcentral. Lineage: Bacteria; Pseudomonadati; Pseudomonadota; Gammaproteobacteria; Oceanospirillales; Halomonadaceae.